UGGUAGGUUAUAAAUUGGGUGUGUCGCUCCCUAUUCAUUCAUUCAACAAUUUUUCUCUUGAGUUUUCUUUUAAAGAAUUUCUCUUGAGUUUUCUUUUAGAAAAGUUUUAACAAUAUUUUUAGAUUGUAAGAAUCGUCUUCAAGCUUUUUCUUUUCAAGGAGUCUUUCUUGGAGGGAAAAUUAGAGUCGUUUGAAGGGGGUUAUGGAUUCAUCUUGUUUCCAAGGCUCUUUAGGACUUUUAUAUACCAUCGUAAUCUUUUUUCAUAUUUCUUCAUUGUUUUUCUUCUAUUUUCCAUUCAAUUCUUGUUGUUUUUAUUUUAAUCUUUGUUUGAUUUAUUUCCAUAUUUGAAUUAGUAAAGGAAAGACGUUCUCCUAUCAUAAUACUUCAAGAAACAAUAAAAAUAGGAGUUCUUUUCUUUUCUUAUUGAUUUGAGUUCUUUUGUUACAAAACAAAUUUUAUUUUGCUUAAUUCUUCAUUAUAACAAACUAUUUUGUUGUUUUUGUUUCAAAUUUGGUUGGAGGCCUCCUUUUGGUUCAAGAACGGUUUCUUCUCUCCCAAGAAACCUUAUUCUAAUUAUUCUUGGACUCUUUUUGGCCACACUCUUUUGCUUUGUUGUUUGAAUUUCUUUUUCAUUUGUUUCCAUUCAAAUACUAAUAUGUUCUAUUUUUCUUGUUUAGAUCUCAAUUUGGAAAAUUCUUCUUCACCAAGAACGUCCCAAACACUUCAAAAUUCUGGGUUUUCUCUUGUUCUGGGAUGGUCAAAUUUCCUCUUAAUAUUUCUUGUGUUUUCAUUCAGUUUUAGUUUUUAUUCUUCAGAUCUGUUUAUAAAUUGCUAUUUUCUUGUCUUGGUAGCUUGAUUUCGUUUAGAAUUAAUCAAGAACAAGGGGUUUAUUAACUGACUUGGAUUCUUUCAAGAACCCUAGUUUUUAGAUUUGGUCUUCUUGUUCUUUACUUGUUAGAUUUUGUUGUUGCCCUUCAAUUUUAACUUGGAUUAUUUGUGUUUCAGGUUGAGUCAAACUCUAAGUUUCUUUCUGAUCGUAUAGAGCCCUAAGUCAAAUCUACGACUUGGACAAACUUUCCAUCCUGUUCCACGCACGUCCCUAUCACUAAGUAAGCCUUCGAGAGAGCUUGUUGGACUCGCUUGUGCCUAAAAUGCUUGGCUAGAAAGCUAGAAUAAGAGAUCUUUAGAGAAUGGGAGACUUGUAUUACUCAAAUGACUUAUGUACAAAUGAGGGGUGGGAUGUCCCCUUAUUUAUAGGCCUAGAUCCUUUACAUCAACGAUUGAGGUACAAAGGUCCACUAUGGACGGUGAAGAUCUAAUCUUUAGAAUCUUCCCAACUACUCUUAAUAAAUGCUAUACAAGAAAGGAGUAUUCUAGAGAUAUCUAGUGGUAGCUAGUUAUCUGCUUUCUUCUAGAAGGUGCUAAGGCUUCAUGGACCCUUGUAGCCUACAAAAUCUCUGUGGUGUGUAGUUGGGCCUCUUAAUUAUGCUUUGUGCUCUCUUGAUGGCCUUAUCUGCUCUAUGAUAUAUUGUUGUUGCCUGUAUAAAUGCUAAACUCAGUCAUGGUGUGACAUUCUCCCCCAUCUAAUCGAAUGACAUCCUUGUUUCUCUUUCCAAGUGGAACUCCUUGACCUUGUCUUUGAAUUGCCAUAAGGAAUCCUCCGGUUCCCAACUAGCUUCAACAUCGGAAAGCCUCUUCCACUUCACAAGGUGCUCUCGCCUUUGCAUGUGGUAUUGUUGUCUAUGGACCUAAUCGACUAAGAUACACUCCACUUCUUUUUCAUAUGAUGCUUUUAUACAUACGAUUGCUUGUUGGGAAAUGCCUUGAUUCGAAUCUUCUUAGUCUUCAUAGAAUUGUUUCAACAUGCUUACAUGGAAGAUCGGAUGGGCCUUGUGUAAUUCCCCAAAAAUUGUUAUGUUAUAAAAGUAUCAAUAAAUUGAGAUUGUGCAUAAUGAUUUUCUUGGUAAAGUAAAAUAAUGAAUAUAAUUGAUAAAAG
Molecule: long non-coding RNA, 1996 nt
Filed under: Gossypium barbadense (sea-island cotton)
Lineage: Eukaryota; Viridiplantae; Streptophyta; Magnoliopsida; Malvales; Malvaceae
Description: long non-coding RNA (GBAR_LNC017684)
Source: RNAcentral